AGAGUUUGAUCCUGGCUCAGGAUGAACGCUGGCGGCGUGCCUAAUACAUGCAAGUCGAGCGAACAGACGAGGAGCUUGCUCCUCUGACGUUAGCGGCGGACGGGUGAGUAACACGUGGGUAACCUACCUAUAAGACUGGGAUAACUCCGGGAAACCGGGGCUAAUACCGGAUAAUACAUGAAACCGCAUGGUUUCAUGAUGAAAGACGGUUUUGCUGUCACUUAUAGAUGGACCCGCGGCGUAUUAGCUAGUUGGUAAGGUAACGGCUUACCAAGGCAACGAUACGUAGCCGACCUGAGAGGGUGAUCGGCCACACUGGAACUGAGACACGGUCCAGACUCCUACGGGAGGCAGCAGUAGGGAAUCUUCCGCAAUGGGCGAAAGCCUGACGGAGCAACGCCGCGUGAGUGAUGAAGGUCUUCGGAUCGUAAAACUCUGUUAUUAGGGAAGAACAAGGAUGUAAGUAACUGUGCAUCCCUUGACGGUACCUAAUCAGAAAGCCACGGCUAACUACGUGCCAGCAGCCGCGGUAAUACGUAGGUGGCAAGCGUUAUCCGGAAUUAUUGGGCGUAAAGCGCGCGUAGGCGGUUUUUUAAGUCUGAUGUGAAAGCCCACGGCUCAACCGUGGAGGGUCAUUGGAAACUGGAAAACUUGAGUGCAGAAGAGGAAAGUGGAAUUCCAUGUGUAGCGGUGAAAUGCGCAGAGAUAUGGAGGAACACCAGUGGCGAAGGCGACUUUCUGGUCUGCAACUGACGCUGAUGUGCGAAAGCGUGGGGAUCAAACAGGAUUAGAUACCCUGGUAGUCCACGCCGUAAACGAUGAGUGCUAAGUGUUAGGGGGUUUCCGCCCCUUAGUGCUGCAGCUAACGCAUUAAGCACUCCGCCUGGGGAGUACGGCCGCAAGGCUGAAACU
This 912-nucleotide ribosomal RNA is filed under the name Staphylococcus simulans ACS-120-V-Sch1. RNAcentral's name for it is "bacterial SSU rRNA". It matches the Rfam family "Bacterial small subunit ribosomal RNA", at positions 8 to 901 of the family's 1533-position model. Lineage: Bacteria; Bacillati; Bacillota; Bacilli; Caryophanales; Staphylococcaceae. The record is from RNAcentral.